RNAcentral lists this ribosomal RNA (253 nucleotides) under uncultured bacterium. Its description in RNAcentral is "partial 16S ribosomal RNA". It matches the Rfam family "Bacterial small subunit ribosomal RNA", at positions 524 to 776 of the family's 1533-position model. The record is from RNAcentral.
UACGUAGGGGGCAAGCGUUGUCCGGAAUCAUUGGGCGUAAAGCGCGCGUAGGCGGCUCGAUCAGUCUGCUGUAAAAGUCAAAGGCUCAACCUUUGAAUGCCGGUGGAUACUGUCGGGCUAGAGUCCGGAAGAGGCGAGUGGAAUUCCUGGUGUAGCGGUGGAAUGCGCAGAUAUCGGGAAGAACACCCGUGGCUAAGGCGGCUCUCUAGUACGGUACUGACGCUGAGACGCGAAAGCGUGGGGAGCGAACAGG